CCUACGGGUGGCAGCAGUGGGGGAUAUUGCACAAUGGGGGGAACCCUGAUGCAGCGACGCCGCGUGGGUGAAGAAGCGCCUCGGCGCGUAAAGCCCUGUCAGCAGGGAAGAAAGUGACGGUACCUGAAGAAGAAGCCCCGGCUAACUACGUGCCAGCAGCCGCGGUAAUACGUAGGGGGCAAGCGUUAUCCGGAUUUACUGGGUGUAAUGGGGGCGCAGACGGCGAUGCAAGCCAGGAGUGAAAGCCCGGGGCCCAACCCCGGGACUGCUCUUGGAACUGCGUGGCUGGAGUGCAGGAGGGGUAGGCGGAAUUCCUGGUGUAGCGGUGAAAUGCGUAGAUAUCACGAAGAACUCCGAUUGCGAAGGCAGCUUACUAAACUGCCACUGACAUUGAGGCUCGAAAGUGUGGGUAUCAAACAGGAUUAGAUACCCGUGUAGUC
RNAcentral lists this ribosomal RNA (440 nucleotides) under uncultured bacterium. RNAcentral describes it as "partial 16S ribosomal RNA". It matches the Rfam family "Bacterial small subunit ribosomal RNA", at positions 338 to 795 of the family's 1533-position model. The record is from RNAcentral.